CCAGGUAUUCGUAAAAUCAAAGGGUCUUUGAACUUGUUUUUCAAUUCUUUAUGCUUCCACCUACACCUCUUUUGCAUUUCAAUUUUUAGGCAGAUGAUACCCUAUACCAGUAAUGUCAUGGCAGAUAAAAGCAUGGACGUAUCCAAGUUUGCUAAUCACUUAUUUCCUUUUUCUUUCCUGAGCCAGAUCCUCCAGUCAAAUCAAAAGAGUGAGGCAUCAAGAUUGGCUGGAUUUCUUGACGCCAGAAAUGCAGUAAAUAAGCAGACUCCCAAAAUCCAGGCUUCUCAGUAAUGCUGUUCCUCUUGGUCCUGUCCUUGCUUCGAGUGUAGGUUGAGGAGGAACAUGAAAUGUCUCUUUCAAGGACACUGAUUUCUAAAUAGUUUUCUCUUUAUAUCUUCAUUAGGAGUGAUCCCUAUGUCAUCUAGCAGUUCACAAUAUUUCUUAUAUAAUGGACUUCUUGGAGUUGGAUUUCUCCAGGUUACAGUACUCAAAGCUUCGUGUAAAAUAUUUACAAAACCAGAGGACUUCUUGGAGUUAUAUCUUGGCAAUUCAACGCGUAAUUCCAUUACAACACAUCUACCAAAUGUUUACCAACAGCAUUUACCUAUAUCAAAGUCAAUGUAUCAUUAUCAAAUGUGAUGCAAUAUUGAAGAGAUA
Molecule: long non-coding RNA, 657 nt
Filed under: Olea europaea subsp. europaea
Lineage: Eukaryota; Viridiplantae; Streptophyta; Magnoliopsida; Lamiales; Oleaceae
Source: RNAcentral